Non-coding RNA from Pelobates cultripes (western spadefoot toad), 202 nucleotides. The record is from the annotation of a GenBank genome assembly. NCBI's taxonomy places the organism in Eukaryota, Metazoa, Chordata, Amphibia, Anura, Pelobatidae.
CUUUAAUAUGGCUUCUGCUCCCUCCACUCUACUGAGACUGUUCUGAUUAAAGUUACAGAUGAUCGAAUCGCAGCUAAAUCCAAAGGCCAAUUCUCCAUAAUAAUUCUUCUUGACCUUUCUGCUUCCUUUGACACUGUUGAUCAUGUCCUCCUCCAAACUCUUUAUUCCCUCGGUCACUGCAACACUGUCCUCUCGUGGUUCU